RNAcentral lists this unclassified non-coding RNA (336 nucleotides) under soil metagenome. RNAcentral describes it as "partial contains 5.8S ribosomal RNA, internal transcribed spacer 2, and large subunit ribosomal RNA". The stretch from base 1 to 120 matches the Rfam family "5.8S ribosomal RNA", at positions 35 to 154 of the family's 154-position model. The record is from RNAcentral.
GAUGAAGAACGCAGCGAAAUGCGAUAAGUAAUGUGAAUUGCAGAAUUCAGUGAAUCAUCGAAUCUUUGAACGCACAUUGCGCCCGCCAGUAUUCUGGCGGGCAUGCCUGUUCGAGCGUCAUUUCAACCAUCAAGCCCCAGGCUUGUGUUGGGGACCUGCGGCUGCCGCAGGCCCUGAAAACCAGUGGCGGGCUCGCUGUCACACCGGGCGUAGUAGAUUUUAUCUCGCUCAGGGCGUGCUGCGGGUUCCUGCCGUUAAAAAGCCUUUUUUACCCAAGGUUGACCUCGGAUCAGGUAGGAAGACCCGCUGAACUUAAGCAUAUCAAUAAGCGGAGGA